CAGCUGUCGUCCUCAAGGACAUAAAUUAUUUGGGGUACAAGUAAACAGAUAGAUUAUAGUACUAUGUGAUAGCUUUGUUGUUUAUUUUGGCUUUACUGCAAGAUUGCAAAUCCCUUUGCAAAUCAGAAUGCUAUCCUAUUUCUCUGUACUCAAGUGCACGAGGUAGUGUUGGGCAUAAAGCAGAUGUUCAAUAAGCACACGUUACUAUUCAUUUCUGUUCAAUUUUAAAAUCACUUAUCGAGUGCCUGCUUCCUGGAACAGAGAGGGUACUGCUAGGUACGUAAUAGCUAUCGCAGUGAUUAUAUGCUGUCUCAAUGAAGAUUUGGGCUAACUGAUACACUAGCUUAAAAGUUUCACCUUCAUCCAAUCAAUUCACAUUUUCCUAAGUGGUUAUGCUACUUCAUUCCAUAAAAACACAGUUUUGCUUUUCCUAAAAUCUGAUUUACAUUUUCUCCUCCGGCAAACUGGGGAGCCUCGGCGUGCGCUUGCACGCAUGCGCACACGCCAGCGCCUGGCGAAGCGCCCCCGCCCGCGAGCACCUCCAGCCACCCGCAUCCGUUGCACGGCCGUUGGGUAGUGGCGAGCCGGCACCAUGUCCGCCGCGGGAGUGGCGUUGUUGUUGUCCUGCCUGAGCUGUUGCGGCUCGGCCCUGUGGAGGUAUUACAGUAACAGCCCAAACUACGACGUUUUUAGUACCAGAAGUACUAUUAAGUUAGAGUAUGAAGGAACAUUAUUUUCUGAGUGGAGUGCUCCAGCAGCUUGUUCUAUAAAAAAUAAAAGAUUACCCAAGACAGAACUACGAUGUUCUUCUCCUGGUAUUUAUGCUAUAAAACCAAUUGUUUCAGGCCCGAUUGUCAUUUUGUGGAUAUAUGAUCCGGAAAACGCGGACCCCAGUGAGUUGCUAUGGAAUGCCAGUGAACCUUCCCUAGUAGGUGAAAACAUUAUUAUUUUCAUAGAUAAAAUAAUAUGCUACAUUUCUUUUUUAAGAGCUGUGAAUAAUUUAUUCUAAGUAGCCUAAAACUAAAUACAUUUUAAUUAUCCACUAAAUUUAGUUUACUCAUUAUAGUGAUUUUGAACUUGUGCUCAAUCACUACAAUUAUAAAUCUUUCUUUAGAAUUCUUAUUGAGCAUUCUCCAUAUUUUCUGUGAACCUCAUUAUCCACAAAGGGGCUGACCAUUAAAAUGCUUUAAAGGUGUUUCUUGAGCAUCUACUUUGAAGUCAUCCUUCAGAAAUCUGUCUAGUUCUUUAUUGAAUGCUUUACCACUGGAGAUGAAUAAAGUACAAAACAGUGCAUAAAUAAGUCCUUCCUUUUAUCUCUUACAAAUUUAC
This 1329-nucleotide long non-coding RNA is filed under the name Capra hircus (goat). Its description in RNAcentral is "lncRNA (ENSCHIG00000000948.1)". Lineage: Eukaryota; Metazoa; Chordata; Mammalia; Artiodactyla; Bovidae. The record is from RNAcentral.